UACGAAGGGGGCUAGCGUUGCCCGGAAUCACUGGGCGUAAAGCGCACGUAGGCGGCUUUCUAAGUCAGGGGUGAAAUCCUGGAGCUCAACUCCAGAACUGCCUUUGAUACUGGAAAGCUUGAGUUCGGGAGAGGUGAGUGGAACUGCGAGUGUAGAGGUGAGAUUCGUAGAUAUUCGCAAGAACACCAGUGGCGAAGGCGGCUCACUGGCCCGAUACUGACGCUGAGGUGCGAAAGCGUGGGGAGCAAACAGG
Molecule: ribosomal RNA, 253 nt
Filed under: uncultured bacterium
Lineage: Bacteria
Description: partial 16S ribosomal RNA
Rfam family: Bacterial small subunit ribosomal RNA
Source: RNAcentral